GCGGGUGGUGGCGGAGACUUCCCCUCAGGAAGCCCGGUCUCCGCCUCCUCCUCUCACUCCGCCUGCUCGGCGGCGGAGGCGGCGGUGGCGGCAGCUGCUGUCCCUACCUCUCCGCCAUCUCCACCCCGGCCUGUCCCCCGGCCGGCGGCGUUAGCGGGGAGGGGGAACAGUAGUUGUAGACGCCCGCCCCUGCCUCAGAGAAGAUGACUGGGAAUGGAGUAUUACACAGAAAUCGAUUUUGGGAUCUCUGCAUCGUGUUUUUUAGCUUGCUGAUUGUUGCACAGUUUCACCAUGUGGGGAAAGUUCAUGCUAGAAAACUGAAGCAAUUAAUGGGUGACUAUGAUCAGAUUUCUUCACCAAGUUCUCAGCCUGAUACGAAGAUUCAUCUAUAGUCAACAUAAUGGAAAAUUCUAAGAUAUAUGACUCUUUUCAACAUGAACUUGAGGACUAUGUUAGAAAACAGAAAGCCAGAGGGUUACAACCAGAGGUUUGCUUUAGGAAGAUGACAGAGGACUCUGCAUACAGAGAAAGGAGCCACACUGCACCCAAACCUCUAAUGCUGGAGCAGAGACCCUUCUUCAGGAGGUCCCACGCAUUUUCCAAUUCCCAUGAAAGGCAGAGAGCAGUGGAAAAUCAGUUACCCCCAUGGUUCAAAUUUCAUCACUCCAAACAAAGACUGGAGUCUCUAAACCACUGUCAGGAAAAACAUGACCAUUUCUUCAAGAAUCUGUGGCUUCCAAGCCCACCUGUGCAAGGAAAGACCCCUGUCCCUCAGGCUGCACAACACAGAAAAGAUACCAGCCACCUCUGGGAGCAGGGUCCCACCAGAGCCCAUCAGGCUGGAGAUCAAGAAGGCCGGAGGCGAAGGUCCAGGGAGGAGGGGAGAGAAGGACGCAGCAAGGAGGGGCAGGUUGAGGGGAAGACAAAGCAUCAUGAGGAUGGAGAUUCCCACAAAGAGAGCAAGAAGGCCAGGGUGCAGCCAGUCAGCACAGAGAAGCCGAAACACAGAAGGAAGCGCCACCAAGAUACCACAAAGGAGGGAAGAAGGUCUCAGAGAGAGAAGAAGCAACCUGGCAAAGAAAGCACGCAGGAGAGGGACCUGUGGGAUGAAGCUAUCCUCGGCUGUUGUUAAUGAUUUUGGAGGAUUUGGGGCCCUGAUAUAAAAUGAUGUGGAUAUGUUGGAAAGGCUGGAUUAAAUGACAUUGAAGCAAUUCAAUGGCCACCACUUCAAAAAAAAAAAAUUUGAUCCCCACCUCAGAUUCUGUUCAAAUGUAAAACACAAAUGGUUUCAAUGAUGUCAGUGUAAAAACUAAAAUGUAAAACUAUUAGGAGAAAAGAUAGGAGAGGGGCUUUUAAUUUGGGACUGUGAGACACAUUAGGGUACAUAAUGUGUACCCUUCCUGAAUGAGACACAUUAGGGUACAUAAAGAUGAAAAAAUAAUAAAUGUAAUUGCAGAGACAUUUAAAAUCUAUAGAACUGAAUGUUGUUUUGUAAAUUCUUCUGAGAACAAAUUAAAAGACAAACAUUGUAUAUAUGUGCAGAACGACACCUCCAGAAAGAUACACUGAACUGUUGGCUCUGGGGGCAAAAAACCAAGUGGGUAGGGGACAGAGGUGGCAGGUAGACUAAAUUUUCAAAGUGUUCACUUAUUUUUGUUUUGAAUUUGGUAAUAUUUGUUACCUUUUAUUUUUUAAAAAAGAUUUUUAAAAAAUUUUAAGGAAUCGGGGCGCCUGGGUGGCUCAGUGGUUGAGCAUCUGCCUUUAGCUCAGGGCAUGAUCCCGGGGUCCUGGGAUCAAAUCCCACAUUGGGCUCCCCAGAGGGAGCCUGAUUCUCUCUCUCUAUGUCUCUGCCUCCCUCUCUGUGUCUCUCAUGAAUAAGAAAAUAAAAUCUUUAAAAAAAUUUUUAAGGAAUCUCUCACAACCCUGAGAUCAAGAGUCACCUGCCUACUCCACCCACUGAGACAGCCGGGUGCCCCAAGAUUAUUACCACUUAAAUAAGCAAAUAUUUUUUACGGCAAUCAACACACUGGGAAAAAAAACAUUUGCAGCACUCUAUAUUAAUAUCUUUGUGUCAGUUAUCAAAUUAUUGCUUCUUAGCUCCAAAGAGUUUCUUUGCCCCUCUGUGCAACUGGACAGAGAAACUGGUCUCCUUUGCCAGCUGGCUUGAUGCCAGUAGAGGCGCUGGAUGCCAGUAGAGGGCGCUGGAGGGACACCAUAAACUGGGACAGGAGGUCCUUCCUUUUCCCAAGGUUGCUGGUUUUCCCAUAGCAGCAAGUCCUUGCCUCUGUGUGUGUGAUGUACCUGCAGUCCAAGCCCUGUGACAAAUUUUUGGUCCCUAUUGAACUGUGUGAUCAAUGUGUUCCAUAUUCUCUCUGCAGAGGUCCAAAUCUCAGGCAUGUGGGGAACUCCUCUUCUAAGUUUCUCACUUUCUUCCAUGUUCACUUCCCUCAAAGGGUCAAGGGUGGGCAAACUGCAGCUUGCAGUCCAAAUCUAGAUGCCUUCCGGCUUCUAUACUGCCCCCCCAUUUAAGAAUAGUUCUUACAUUUGAACCCCAACCAAGCAAAAUGUUAUCCCAACAAAUGGAUCAUUCCCAUUCUUCUCAUUAAAGAACUUUAUUCCAAAGCUGGUACUCACUUACUAUUCUAUUUUUAUUUUUUAAAAUAAUUUUUAAAAGAUUUUAUUUAUUUGAGAGAGAACAUGUGAGUGCAAGUGCAAAUGGGGGAGGGGCUGAGGAAGAGGGAGAGAAUCUUAAGCAGACUCCACCCUGAGCCCAGAAUCCCAGUCAGGGCUCCAUCUCAUGACCCUGAGAUCAUGACCUGAGCCAAAAUCAAGAGUCAGACACUUAACUGACUGAGCCACCCAGGCACCCCUACUAUAUUUUUAUCAAUAAAAUAUUGUGGAGAUUUGUAUUCUAUAUUAUUAUACAUGAUAUUCCACAAAGCCUAAAAUAUUUACUACCUGACCUUUUACAGAAAAAGUUUGCAAUCCUUGCCUCAGAGACUUCUUGUACCACUUUUGGUAGUUAACAGCAUUUUGUUUACAUUUUUUCCUAUUUAAUUUUCUCUUUAAAUUACUGGAAUGGGGGAUGCCCGAUUGAAUGUCUGCUUGAAUGGUUGAAUGUUGCCUUUGGUUGAAUGUCUGCCUUUGGCUCAGGGCAUGAUCUUGGGGUCCUAAAAUUGAGUUCUGCAUUGGGCUUCCUGCAGGGAGCCUGUUUCUCCCUCUGCCUCUCUCUGUGUCUCUCAUGAAUAAAUGAAUAAAAUUUUUUUUAAAUAAAUAAAAUCUUGAUUUAAUUAA
Molecule: RNA transcript, 3294 nt
Organism: Nyctereutes procyonoides (raccoon dog)
Lineage: Eukaryota; Metazoa; Chordata; Mammalia; Carnivora; Canidae
Gene: KRCC1
Gene name: lysine rich coiled-coil 1
Exons: 3
Source: RefSeq, a predicted model, not a curated record